UACGUAGGGUGCGAGCGUUGUCCGGAAUUAUUGGGCGUAAAGAGCUCGUAGGCGGCUUGUUGCGUCGGAUGUGAAAGCCCGGGGCUUAACUCCGGGUCUGCAUUCGAUACUGGCAGGCUAGAGUUCGGUAGGGGAGAUCGGAAUUCCUGGUGUAGCGGUGAAAUGCGCAGAUAUCAGGAGGAACACCGGUGGCGAAGGCGGAUCUCUGGGCCGAUACUGACGCUGAGGAGCGAAAGCGUGGGGAGCGAACAGG
RNAcentral lists this ribosomal RNA (253 nucleotides) under uncultured bacterium. Its description in RNAcentral is "partial 16S ribosomal RNA". It matches the Rfam family "Bacterial small subunit ribosomal RNA", at positions 524 to 776 of the family's 1533-position model. The record is from RNAcentral.